Molecule: transfer RNA, 70 nt
Filed under: Chromatomyia horticola (garden pea leafminer)
Lineage: Eukaryota; Metazoa; Arthropoda; Insecta; Diptera; Agromyzidae
Description: tRNA-Glu
Source: RNAcentral
AUUUAUAUAGUUUAAUGAAAACCUUACAUUUUCAUUGUAAAAAUAAAAUUAUUUAAUAUUUUUAUAAAUU